AGUAAACAACCAAUGCUUCCGCCUCUUUAUUUACUCUAUAAGGAAAACUUUCUCUUCACUCCACAGCUAGAGGAACAGACGCCGCCAGCUUGCGGAACUUGAGGGCGUAAAACAUCUCCAGAUAGCGGCGGCACUCCAGGCGAUCAAGGUUCGAAACAUCUUUCCAGAAGCCAUAGACUCCAGUGAGUGUCAAGAGCCUCUCAGAGUAGAUUUGCCAUGUGUACCUAAACGAAAACAGAGCAGAAAUGUAAGAUAACUUGCAAGCCAGGCAAAACAAUUUACUGCAAAAAAUGGAUUUGUUCUUGCUUACUUUUCGUAAAUGCGCUGCAAGCCGCCUUGAGAAAUCUUGUCCCAGUGGCUAGGAUCAGCCUUGCUCUUCUCAAAGAAAUCAACAAGGAUCUCAGCAGCCUGAUCGCCGUGGUAUGGAUCAAUGUGGUAGCCCGAUAUUCCAUUCACAAUAAUCUCAGCCGGGCCACCCUUGCAAGUGGCAAAUGUGGGCAGUCCACAAGUCAUGGCCUCAAUGACUGUCAAGCCGAAAGCUUCAUACACAGCAGGCUGCACAAAGGCUCCCCUGGUGUCACAAAUGUAGCGGUAGAGUUCACCAUUCCUCACACGGUUCAUCUGGGAUGAGAUCCAUCUUAACUGCCCGUUCAGCUUGUAGGUGUCAAUCAGCUCGUACAUCUUCUUUAACUCAGCCUUCUCCUCAUUGUCCUUGGACUCGUUGCGGCGAUCACCAGCAACCACAAGAAGGUUAACCAACUCUCUAAGCUUGGCAUUCUUACCAUACCACUCGACAAGCCCAGUGAUGUUCUUCACCCGGUCCAGCCUUGCCAUUGUGAAGAUGAUUGGCUUGUUCCUGUCCUUCAACACACAUCUGAUCGGAAAACAACAUAAACGUGUUAGCACAUAUUCGAUCACACGAUGCAUUGAGCAAAACAUAAAUGGGAAAAAAGCAACUUACAAUUGUUCGAUAUUUUCGACUUGGCCGUAAAGGAGCUCUUCAAUUUCAGGGUGGAAGUGGGUCAACCUCUUUUCUUUCUCAGAGUAAGGGAAGUAGACAUCCUUGUCAGCUCCUGGUGAAACAAUGUUGAACUUGGGAUCGAAGACAUCAAUACCAUGAACGACACGGUAGAGCCCAGGAAGGGUGAAGGCAGUGUGGCUCUCAUACUGACCAACAGUGUCUUUGCUGCAAACAUUCAUAGAACACAAAAUUAGGAUCCCAAAAGACAAGACGGUUGAUACGAAAAGUCUAGGCCGAAUGCAUAUAUUACCUUCCAGCAAUCUCUUGGAAGGUACUGGUGAUGAUGAAAUCAGUGUGGUUCAUGGCGAUAAGAUCAGCUGUAAAUUGGCAUGAGAAGUGAUAAUUCUCAUCCAAUUUCUUCCAGUAAAGGUCAGAAUCAGGGUAUUUUGACUUCUCGAGAGCAUGGGCAAUGGUGCACUGAAAGACAGUGAAAACCAAACAAUAAACUUAGCUACUAAGAUGUAAAAGGCAUCGAAAGGGCAUAACUAAUUAUAACUAAAUGGAAAUCACAAACCUGUGUAACACCCAAUUUGUGUGCCAUCAGUGAGGCCACAAUAUUGCCAUCACUGUAGUUUCCAAUGAUGAGAUCAGGCUUGCCCUGCAUUUCCUUGGAAAGUUCCUUGAUCGCAUCCUAAUAACACGAAAAUCAGCAAGUCUGAGAACCAAAUACAAGCAAAAAUUGGAACAUAUGGAAACCGAUAGUAUUAACAAAGAAGUUGACCUCAGCAUAUGUCUGUAGGUAGGGCCAGACUUCGAAUCUUGAAAUCCAUCUGCGGACAAUGGCACCCUUCUCAUCUCUGAAAGGAACACGAAGAAUAUCUGAAUGCUCACACCCGUAAACUUUCUCAAGACGAUCACCACAUGUGGUUCCAACAGCAUCAGGAAGAAGCCUUGUGAGCUGUGUUUGAAACAUAAUCAAAGCAUCAGAAUAGAAUGAAAUCACCAAAUAACAUAAAUUCUGCAGCCACAAAAUUUCAGAUAAAACUCACAAUGAUAAUGCGGGGAGUGAUAUCGAGUCCUUGCUGCUUAAUGCGCUUAAGCAUCUCAGACUCCAAAGCACGAACUUGAUCCAAGAUAUAGACAACCUGGCCACCAGUGUCAGGGAACCCCAAGACAUGGUCUUGGGCAAAAUAUCCGUGGGGCGAAAGGAUCACAACAUUGAAGACCAUGGGGAUCUGGCCAAGAAAUUUCUCAAGAGUAAAAGGAUCGGGUGCCUCAAUAAGGUCCAACAGAAGUUGGAUCAUCUCAAGCACACGCUCAGCAGUGUCACCCCAACCCCUCUCCAAACCGAUGACUUGCAUCUUGGGCUCGAACUCCUUGUAUGGAGUUCCGGGGACAACUGAAGAGAGGAAAUCCUCUGCCUUCCUCAGAACACGUUCCAGCUCAUUCACAUUCUUAAUUCUGUUAUUCAGCAUCAUAUUCUGCACGAAGAAGCCAAUCAAAUUAAAUCCCGAGAUCAGCAAAAGAGUAUUAAUUUCAUUUGAAUUCAAACAAAGAUGGUAAAGUUGCAAAUGUAAGAAAAUCAUACCCUGCCCUCAUAGCAGUGAACUCGGAGAAACUCGAGCAAAGGGUGCAGGCUCUCCUUGUCAUGGAAGAGCUUAGCAGAAAGGUGACGAUUGAGGAACUCAACGCCUUUUCCAAUGGACUUGGAAAGAGUUGGGCGGGGGAAAGAUGCAUGGAACGGCUGAAAGUCCAACUCAAGCACGAAGUUGCCAUUGGAACUGCAGUUGAAACCAGCAAAAAUUAUUAACAACGCAAAGAAAGUAAUAAAUGCGAUAUUCUAAACUACUCAAAAUCUAUGAAAAUUAACAAAAAAUUAAGAACCGAAUCGAAACUUUAAAACUCAAACUAUAAAAAGACAAAAAACUACCUCCCAUCAACAAGUUCCUCCUUGAAUUGCAAGUACUCAGCCACACGCAACUCCUCGAGAACGAGAGCAUGGACAUUCACACGAAUGUACUCCCAAACACCAGGCCUUGGGCGCACAGCAAAAGCCACCCAUGGGGGCAGCACAACAGCCUCCUACAUUAGACAAAAACAUCCACACAAACAAUUCAAAAACUCCUGAAAAAAACAUAAAAACAAAUGACUACAAACUAUAAGUAUGAUCGAAAAUGUUUACCUGGGUGUGCUUCAAAACUUCACCAAAAGCCCCGUCCAACAGCUUCUGCCUGUUAUUUUCAGGAAUCGCUUCGAACUCGGCAUGAAGCUGAUGGGGUUGCAGAAACCCUUUCCCCUUGCUCUCAAUCCUAAAACCCCAAAACCCUUUUAGUGAUCAAACCAAAAAACAACCUUUUUGCAAAAGACAACAAUUUUUUUGCAUGUUUUGGAACAUUUGACAGAAACCCAUUUGUGAUCAUUAACAUAGUACCUUGAAAGAAGGGCCAGAAUCUCAUUGCGGUGAGUAAAGAGGGUUUCGUCCAGCCUCUCUCGUAAGCUCUGGACGCGGGUCAGCGCACGUUCCGCCAUUACAGCAGCAGCUUGGAAAAUCAGACACCCUUAACAGCUGCAAGAAAAGUAAAAAAAGUUAUGCAGAAAAAGUCAACAAUUCAAACCUUAAAUAAGACUAAACCAACAAAUCAAACGGGUGAAGAUGAACAGGUUUUUUUAUAUUCAACAAAAAUAAAAACAGACAUCUACACAAAAACAGAGCAAAAACCCAUCAAAUAAAGUAUGAACCCAAAACGCAGAAGCUAUUGAUCACAUGGUCGCGUAACAAAAAUCCGGAAAAGAAAAAAAAGAUCAUCCCAAGAACAAGAAAAAUAGAAAAAGUAAAAAGUGGGAAACAAGGAGUACCUAGGGAGGAAGGAAAAAAGUUGAGAACAGUGAAGUGAAAUGGUUUGAUGAACAAAGAUAGUGGGAGAGCGAAAUAAAAUGGUAAGAAAAAGACUUGGGCAAGAUUCCAUUUCACUUUUGACCAUUUUGUCUCAGGAAUAGACAAAAUACUCAUAAGUUUGGAUAACCGUAGUUACCAAUGUAUUUAAAAAUUACUAUUUAUACUUAUAACAGAUAUCUAUUUACCUAUUUAAUUUAAUAUAUGUAAACUAAGUUUCUUGUUUAAUGAAUUUUGUAUAGGUGCUGCUGGCAUUAAGCAGAUUUUAUUUGACAGAUCUGUCCUUCUGUGCUGCUGCUGUACUCAAAAUCCACAAAUUUUAUUUGACAGAUCUGUCCUUCUGUUGAUUUUUAAGUGUCGGUAGGAAGCAAAAGUUAGGUACGAAUAAAAAACGCUAUGGUGAUGAUAUUUCAAACAAAUAUCGCACUGCUAGGUGUUGGACUUGCACACCAUGGCAAAGAAGUUCAGCCCUUGAAUUGAAUUCGAGAAGUCAAUUUGAAGCAAUAGAAAGACAUCUUCUCAUCCAUUUGAAGCAAUUAAAAUUUAAUAUAUGUGUUUAAUUAUCAGAAAAUAAAAAUUAUGACAAAUUUUUCUUUUGUAAUUUUCAAAUUGUUAAAAAAAAACAUGUAGAUGGAUGAAAAAAUGGAUAAAGGGGUUCAAAAACGAGUAAACCGGUAAAUGGUUAUGGUUAAAUGGGUAAACGGUUAUAGUUAAAUGGGUACACGGUUAUAAGUAUGGUUAACCGUUUAUAAAUCGUUUAUAAAUGGUUAUAUGUAUGAGUAUAACCGUUUAUACAACUACCUAACGGGUAAACGCAGGUUAUGAACAUAAGCGAGUAUGGAUAAAUAACCGCGGUUACUCGUCUGCCAUAACCGUUGUCCAUCUCAAUUUCUUACCAAAAGUAAACAAAAAUAGUAGUAAUUUUUACUGCAGGUGCAGGCAUUGUAAAUGUAGAAAAGAAAAAAAAAAGAGUAUUAAAUGCAUGGAAAUUAAGCUGGAAACAUUCAAUUGAAACACAGGAAUCAAACGCUGUGGUUACAAGCAAUUUACUCAUAUGCACUUGAAACUCUUGGAUAUAUAUAAAAUCAAUCAAACAACGUGUAUAAACUUUUUCUAAUGGUAAAUACUAGCUAUCAUUACCUUAAAAUCCGACGAAGAAUUACUGCCAACAAAUGUUCUUGACCAAAAGAGUAACGAAUCAACGAAUAAAUCGAAGUGGUGAUGAACGAAGUAUUCAAUAUACAGAACACAGAGAUGAUAGAAAUGAAGAGAGGAUGAAUAAGAAUGGGAUGGAGGAGAAGGAUGGUAGAACAGCCUUUUAUACAUGUCUUUUGCCUCCUUCCUGGGUGUUGGUGGUGACCGCUGUGUAAUGCUGUUGCUAAUUGACUUGACUAUUAAUUUAAUUUAAUCUCUUUUUAAAUUUCAAAAUAAAACAAUUGGUUCCUGCGGCUUUCAUUUCCUGCGGUUUCGUUGUUGAUUUUGCAAAACCGCUUUACUUUUCUUCUUUUUUUUUUUUUUUUUUUUUUUGGAAAACGCUUUACUUUUCUUCUAGAAUAUGAGUCUAUGACCCCAAUUGUUUCUUUUGUACUCAUUUUCCAUGUCCACUUUCUUCUUCAACGACCUUUUGUCUGUUCAUUAAUUAUUUGUUUAUUUCUGUAGUUUAUAGUUUGUAGGACCUUUUGCCAUCAUAGAGUAUUGUCCAAGUUCUUUCUGUUCCUUAUAAUUUUAAAGAAAUUUUGAGAGUUUUAACGAAAAAUCUGCAGUACUAUUUAUUUUAACGAAAAAUUAUAUUUUUAUACUAAAAAGUCAAACAUGAUACUAUUUAUUUUAACGAAAAAUCAUAAUUUUAUACUAAAAAGUCAAACAUGAUACUAUUCACUUUACCCUUUAUUUUGUUCUUAUCGUUAAAACUCAAGGUUUUCAAGUCAUUUUCAUUAGUUUUCCUUGAUAUUUAUAUAUGUCGAUCAUGUAUGCCUGAGAGAUCAUAUAUACAAGAGAGAUCAACUAAUUUUGAUUAUAUUUAUAAAUUAUAUGACAUGGAUUUUAACGGUUUGAUUGUUAUUUAAUUAUUGAUUAACAUAGUUAUUUUUUAUUGAUAAUAAAUCACAUAAUUUAUAAAUUUAAUUUGCCUAACAUUAUUCUAAUUUUAAUUAAUCAAACGCAAACAUUUUUUGUAAUCUUUAUUAUUAACAUGUGCGUACAUGCUCUUAUCCCUUUUUUUUUUCAAAUAAACCAUAAGUAUUAUAGUCAUUCAGGGAGAUAAGGUGAGCUUCACCUCAUAAUGAGCUAGUGAUUUAAAUUCAUCUCUGUCAAGAAUCAAAUCUAAAGACUCUCAUUUAUUAACGAAGAAAAAUAUCAUUAGAAUAUAGUACUAAGUGGUUGUUCUUAUCCCAUUAGCUAGCCUAGCUUUUUAUGAAUCCUAUUUUCUUCGACUCAACGCUAAACGAUGGUAUUAAGUAUUAAUUGACCUUACAAAAUGAAGCUAAACGGAUGUAACUGUUAGGGUGCGUUUAUUGCACCGGAUUGUCUCGGACUGGAUUAGGUGUAAGGACUAUGCUGGAUUGGUUUAAACUAAACUAAACUAGACUAACUUAGUGAAGUGUUUGGUACAAUGUCGGAUUAAAAAGAGGAUAAUGAAAUAGCUGUCAAUGUUCGAAAGAAAUGGGGGCUUUUGAGCUCUCAACUAUGUGAAAGAAACUCAACUAAUUUUCAGACAUUGCAACCACAGUUGGAAUCAAACAUGCAACCAUAACCCACAAUCUAUGACAAAUAAAAUUACGAUUCUUCAUCAGUUUUCUCGACAACCAAACAGCUUGUAAAAUAUCCAUUGAAGAACAACACAGUCAACAUUUCCAAAUCUUUAUCUUCCAUGUAAGAACAACAUAAAUUCGAAGAAUAAAUGUAAAACAAAAAAUGACCAAAACAAAAGAACCAAUCUAUAUCACCAAUUAUUCAAAUCCAGAAAACCCAGUUGAACCCAAUUAAAAAUAGACCCAAACAAUCCAAUUUUCCAGCAAAUCUUUUAAACUAGACAAAUUGUUAAAAUCCCAGAUGACAAGUUCACUGCUUGGAUCCCAAAGAUCAAAAGAGAGAGUAGUAGUGCUUGGAAAAACCCAAAUUGAUCCAAUUUCUCCAGCAGAUCUUUGCAAUAUGUUUUUGCCUUCAAACCUCUAUCUUCGAACCUAGCCUUUGAACCUCAGUUUUCAAACCUAGCCUUCGGUCGUCAACCCCAGCUCUCAGCCGAUCAUAAUAUCAAGUAAACUUUCUCUUUUCUAAUUGAUCCACCGGAUCGAGCCAAACCCAUCGAUGGUGGUAAAUAGAUUUUGGGAUUCAGGUGGCGGGUUGAGCUGGUGGUGCAUAGAGAUUUAGCAAGGGAAGAUCCAUGCGGGGAGAGAGUGGGAGGAUUUGACGGCUAGGUCGUCCAGUAGGAAGAGAACGCGACGCGAGUAGACAAAGUAGACGAAGCAAUGAGCGGUCUUAGCAGUCCACUUCAUUUUGGGGGGACUAUCUAAGACCCUCUAAUGAGGUCGAUAGUCGGGGUCUCACUAAAGUUAGUCCUUGUGAUUAACAAACACAACACUACACUAACUUUUAGUUUAGUCUAGUCUAGUGAAGGCUAGUGAAACCAAACAAACACACCUUUAGUGGCUACAACGAGUUUAACUUUGAUAAUUCAACAUAAACUAACUAGUUCGAUUUUUUAAACAAUCUUCAUCGUCCAAUUUCACUAUACUUUUCUGAACUACUUAGUAGUCCCAAACUAUUAAAAAUUGAGCUACAACAUGUAGUUUUCAUUGAGUUUCAUUUUUAGUGUUGUAUUUUUAAUUGCAUCGAAUUUGGUUUCUGUAGUUAGUUGCUCUACUCCAAAAAGUUUUUUUUUUCUUUUGUCGGAAAAAAAACUAGAGAAAUAGUUUCAUAGAUAUGCAUCAAGCUCCUUUUGCCAAGGGAUCCGGAAGCUUUAAAUCUUCUUUGCAUCGUCACUUUCACAAGCUUGGCAAGAUAAAACACCAUUUUAAAAAAAAAAAAAAAAAAACUUUAACAAAAAACUCCAAAUACUGUUUAUUUUAACGAAAAUCCACAUUUUUACACUAAAAAGUCAAUCAUGAUACUAUUCACUUUACUCUUUAUUUUGUCCUUAUUAUUAAAACUCAAAAUUUUCAAGCCAUUUUUAUUAUUUUUCUUUUAAAAUGAAAGUUCAUUGCACAUAUAUAGGCUUCAUAAACCUCCCUGUUAGCAACAGUUCCACCAAAUAGAAAGUUAAAACGAAGAACACCUUGCCAUCAACUAGUCUAUGGCAACCGCUACAACAUCGUACUUAAUUCUUCGGACCAAUGACCUUGAGGGCACACAUCUGCUCCUCUCCCAUGGUAGACAUGACAGUCACCACAAAAUCCCUUCCAUCCUUAAACCCGUCCUUGAUCUGUGUAAGGAUACUGUCAUCAGUGGGAAACCUCAUAUCCCGAAAUCUUGACGAAGGCUAUCUUUGUCCUCUUAGGCAUGGCGUUUUUGCCAAAAGUCGAACAAAAAGCCUAGCGUUGGCAAUGAUAUCGGUAUGAUCUGCGGUUGUUGUCGUCGUGGUCGUGGCCGUGGUCAGGGUCAUGGUGAUGGAACGUCGAGCCACAUCCAGUGUGCUUGAAAAUCAAUGUGGGAUAGUAGUACUUUCACCCUUGGCCAAGAUUAAGGAUGGGCAACGGUUAUGGCGGACGGGUAACCGCGGUUAUUUACCCAUAACCGUUAAAGUUUUUACCUGUAUAACCAUUUACCCGUUGGGUAUUUACAUAAACGGGUAUACCCAUACCCAUAACCGUUUAUAAACAGUUAACCAUACCCAUUUACCUAUAAUCGUAUACCCAUUUAAUCAUAACCGCGUAUCCGUUUACUCUUUUUUUCACCUGUCUACCUUUUUUUUUAACAACUUGAAAAUUAAAAAGAAAUUUGUCAUAAUUUAAUUUUUCUAACAAUUAAAUACCGUUAUAAAUACAUUUAACAUGAAUUUUGUAUUAACGGCAAUAUUAUUUAUGAAGAUAUGCAAUGUCUCCCAAUUAUUUGACGGUCAAUCUAUUACAAGAAUCAUGCAUGGUUGUAGGUUAAUUAAUAUUCUUGUAUACAUACACACACACACACACACACACACACACACACACACACAUAAGUAUGCAUCAGUCUGCUAACAAGCUAAUUUGAUAAAUAUUUGGAUUUUUAUAUAGAAACAUAUGUUCAUCGAUCCAAGCCAUUUAAUUGAUUUCUAAUUUUUGGGUCAAAUACUUAUUGAAAACUCGAUGCCAAUUAAAUAUAUAUAUAUAUAGGUACGCAUCAACCGACAAUAACAUGUUUCUAAAAGCUCAAGGUAAUCAUUAUCUUGAAUUGGCCAAAGCUCCAAAAGACUCCAAAACAAAAUUAUCGAAUACUCUAAUGCUUUAGCAUAUUCAAUCAUAUAUAUUAAACAUUGGUCCGUUCUAUCAAUUAUAUUUUUCUCUCAAGUGAGGCGCAUAUAUAUAUAUAUAUAUAUAUAUAUUAUGGCCCUUUAUAACCAAAUAUGUUUUGGGAUACUAAACUUAGCUAGAAACUAAUUUAUUUAUUUAUUUUUUAGUUUUACAUAUAUUAAAAUAAAUGGUUAAAUGGGUACCCGUUUAUAACCGUGGGUAAUACCCAUAACCGCCCAUUUAAAUUUCACAGGUAAUAACCGUUUAUUUAUCUAAACAGUUACCCAUAACCGUCAAAUUUAAAUGGGCGGAUAACCAAGGUUACCCAUAACCAAUGGGUAUUUGCCCAUCACUAGCCAAGAUUCUACGAGCCACUCCAUGUUGGUUUCAUCUUCCAACAACUCGGUGAAAGAGAAUGCCAUCGAGUUUUGAGUUUUGGUUUGAACGAAAACACUCAAUUUAGAAGAAUUAGAACAAAUGAAAACUAAUUAAAGUGACUUGAAAAGUUUUAGUUUUAAUAAAAAAACCAUGUUAUAAGUUUUGUUUAAUGAUUAGUAUAAGACCCAUAUUAAAGUAGUCCAACUAAAAAUGGCCCAACUAUAAUAAAUUAUGAUUUGUCGAUUUUAUCCCUAACUUUUUUAGGUUGAGUUCCAGAUUUUCGUUGUUAAUGAAGUUCAUCGUUGUUUUGCAUACCUUGUUCUUUUUCUUUGAAACAAAAAUAUAGAUCAUCAUGCUAUUUAAUUUAUAUUUUGUAUUAUUUCAUUGAAAUGUGAUCGUCAUUAUUAUUCAUAGUGUAUUUGAAGUACUGUUUUUCGAUUUUUCAUCGACAGUGAAGUUCAUCAUUUGUUUCUCCAAAAAAUAAAUUUGAGAUAUGCACACUAUUCAAUAAUAACGACAGGUCACUGUUUAUGGACUGUAAAAAUAAAUUGUUUCUGGAUUUUAAGUAACACUGUUUCUAUAUCCAAAUGAAAUAGACACAUGGUUUCUUUAAUGUAAGCUACAAAAGAAAUAGUGAAAUUCACUGAGGAUUCAAAGCAAAAUAAGCAUCAUGUUUCUUAAAUAUAAUCAACUGAUGCAUUAAAGAAAAGAAACAAUCAAAUGUUAAAAGAUAGACUGUUUCUGGAACUAAGUCACUGUUUCUGAAAUCUAAGUCACUAUUUCUGAAAUUUAAGUCAUUGUUUCUGAAAUUUAAGUCAUUAUUUCUGUAUUUUGGUUCUUUUCUUUUCAGAUACAGUGUUUGUUUGUGCACAAACAAAACAAACACUGUAUCUGAUUUUUUUUUCCAGAAACAGUGUUAUGUUUUGGGUUAUCCAUAAACAAUUUUAUGUUUUGGUUUUUUUUCUUUUUUCAGACACUUUUUAGCUGGUGCUGCCAUUAAACUUCUUUGAACUUGUUUCGGUGGCUUUGUUCCGAUGAAUGUUUUAUUUUUCAACUUUGAUUUGAACUUUGAUUUGGUUGUUUUUGAAAUUGGGAAAUUCAAUUUGGUAGGAAAACAUGAAGUUAUUAUGGCGGUUUCAUGCUGGGUUGAGGUUGGUGAAGAGUUAAAACAAUAUCAAAUCAUUUAUGGGUAUUUACGGGAAGUGUAGAUUUGUAGUGGGUUGAGCUUGUAAGUUUGACCCGUGAACAAUAUUUCUGGAUGAUUUUUUAUUAAACUUUGAGCCCUUUUAGUUAAAUAACAUUUUAGGAUGAUUUUUGGUUAAAUAUUUGUUGGCCCAAACCAUUUUUAUUAAAGCUCUCUUAGAACAAUUGGCAGUAGAUCAAAGAGAGGAAGACAGAUAGAUCAAGGAUUUCGGGUUGAGAAGGGAAUGAGUUUACCCGCGGCCAUGUAAAAUUUUGAUUCAAUUCCCUCGAAAUUUCAUGGGAAGAGGUGAGAUUUGUGGAUACUUAAAAUGUACUACAAAAUCUCUCAAAUUCCCUCUAAUUCCUCAACUCUUUCAAAUUCUUUAAAUUCUAAUUCUAAUUGAAUACACCUGGAAUGUUAUAAAUUUCUUUAAAAUUAUAAUUGAACACACACAUAUUUCUAAGGAUUUUAAUAAACUAUUUUAAAAUCCUAAUUGAAUACACAUUAAAUUUCAGAACAUCACUUAAAAUCCUGAUUGAAUACCCCUAGAUAUUAAAAGAAUUAAAAUCCUUCAAAAUCCUAAUUGAAUACAUCUCCUAUGUUUAUGGGUUGGGAUGGGUUGCUUAUUGCUUUGAUUGUUGGAAAAAAUUAGUAUUUUAUUAUUAUUUAGAUUUACUUGUUAGUUUAAUAUAUGAGCUUAGCCUAUAUGAAAUAGGGUUUCUAGGUUUUUCUCUCUAUAAAUAUAGCUUAUAGUUUAGUUUGAAGAUAUGUCAAUCACGAUGUAGUCUUUUGGAUUUUGUAGUUAUUUCGGCAUUCUCAUUUGUUUAAUAAUAUUCUUAUUAUUUUGUAAUCUUGUUCGUCGCACACUCUGAUAUUCAACUUGGUAUCAGAGUAGGUUUGAUCCUUUGAGAUUUAAUCUAUUUAAUCUAUUGUUGAUUCGUAUCAAUCUGUUUGUGUUGUCCGUUUUCUAGUUUAGAUUGUCUUUGGUGUAGUUUAAAAAACGAAAAAGUUUGAAAAAGAAAAACUGUCAUUGUGUUGAGUUUCUGGAGCUGCGCCGCACCGGAGCCAAUUCGAAACGUAAGGUCUAUAACCGAAGCAACCACGCCCAGCAUCCAUGACCACCAGGGCUGGCCCAAGCCUAAUGCUGAUAGGGCGACCGUCCAGGGCCCAAAAUAAUUGGGGGCACCAAAAUUAUUAGGGUAAUAUAUUUAUAUAUUUUUUUCAUAAGAGUAUAAAUUUAUAAAAUUUGGUUCAAUGACAAAGAAAUUUAACUAGAAGUGGUGGUUUUGUUGUUUGAAAUUAAUAGGGAGGUCUUGGGUUCAAAACACCAUGUGUGCUUAUUUACCUCUCAAUUUUUACAAAUUUCUUUUCAUAAAAGUAUAAAUAUAUAAAAUUUGGCUAAAUGAUCAAAAAGUUUAAUUAGAAUCAAUGUUUUUGUUGUUUAAAAUUAACAAGAGAUCCUAAGUUCUAAAUGCUAAGUGCAUGUUUAUUCUUUUCAUUUUUUAUGAAUUUUUGUUUGGUUGUUAAUUUAUUUUUAAUUAGUAGCUAGUAGUUAUGUAGGUUGUUAUUUUUAAACAUUUGUUCUAAUUCAGGUUUAAUCUUCAACAAAGAAUAAUGUGUUGACCAAAUUUUUAGACCAAAUUUGCAAAUCAUAUGACAUGUCAUAAAAAAGUUUAAGUUAGUACCCAUUUAUUGCUUAUACAUAUCAAUUAAAGACUAAAAAACAUCAUUAUUUUUUUAGUCCCAUAUUGACAAGGUUAGUAAAAAAGAAAAGACACCUGACGAUUUAUACAAAAAUAAUUUAAAAGUUCAGAUAAAAAACAAAACUCAUAUCUAUCUAUUUGUAAACCCAGAGUUUUUUUUGUUUCUUUCUCACGAUACAAAAUAAAUUAGUUUUUCCGUGUUUAUAAAUUAUUAAGUUUGAAGUACUUUUUUAAGUAUAAUUUUAUCGAUGUCUUAUGUGUGAAAAUAAAUAACUUUCUGAUAUAAAAUGAUGGCACAUUUUUGACGUCGCAUCGGGCUCAAAAAUCUUUAAACCGGCCUUGAUGACCACCCCACCAUCACCUACAUGACUCACCGCCGUCGCACCCAGAUUCGUCCUGCAUCUGAUUAGCACUGUCCUGCGCACCACCCGUUGCCAGACCUGGCUAAUCAACCCACACCCUACCCAUUCAUGGUUCGCCACUGCGGCACCCGCUGCCUGAGAGCCACUCGCUGCUCAUGUUUGCACUUGUUGUUUGUUGACCGUCGUUGCGGCUACCAAAUCGAAUCUAGGUUGUCUGUCCGAGGAACUGCUGUUGUUCGAGGCUGCUCUGUGGGCCUGUCUUCAAUUCUGAUGAACCCGAGUAUAGUAUGAUGAUGGCCCUUAUUUUGAUCAGAUGGACCUUCGUGUUGAUCUAAAGUAAGUGUUGGAAAGAAGACAAAAAAUUGUUUGUUUCUUUUUUUAAGGCCCACACGGGCAAUGAGCGCUAGUAAAAGAUUGGCAUUUUUGGUUUGAAGUUUUUUUAGGCCCACACGGAAAAAUGUUACGAGUUUGCUUGUCUGUCACUUGGGUACUUGGAUCUGUGAGACCACUCGAGUGAUAGUAGUUUUUUGAUUCUCUCCAUUUGUUGCUGUAAUUGGAAUAUGGGAAUCUUGUCCGUUUGUGACGAGAAGCACUAAUAUGCUUUUUUUCUAUACUCUUAACACUAGUUAGUCGGAAUCAAUUUGCCAAUCAAGUCAAGUUUGCAUGUCUAGCUGUUUUCUAGUCUGCCUAACAGAGCUAGUCCACAUCUGCUUGUUUGCAAACCCAUGUUGUACCGCCAUGAGUUUGACGGUGUGUUGGAAAAUAAUAGUAUUUUAUGAUUAUUUGGGUUUGCUUGUUAGUUUAGUAUAUGGGCUUAGCCCAUCCGAAAUUGGGUUUCUAAGUUUUUUUCUUAUAAAUAUAGCUUAUAGUUUAAUAUGAAGAUAUGUUAGUCACGAUGUAACCUCUUAGGAUUUUGUAGUCGUUUUGACAUUCUCGUUUGUUUAAUAAUAUCCUUAUUAUUUUGUAGUCUUGUUCGUCGCACAUUCUGAUAUUCAACUUUGAUAUCCCUAGUUGUAUGAUAAUUAAUAUGUAAAUGGGGAAAUCAAGUAAACAAAAAAUUAUAAAUUGUAUAAUGUGGUUUUUCGAACAAUAACGCCUCUUGAUUACAUAUAUCUUUUAAAAAAGAACCAACGUCUUGCUAAAAAAAAAGUCAUGUUCUCUAUGAAAAUAAAAGCAUUGAAGUUGACUUCAUUUCCAAUAGGAAUCGAAACUUACAAAUAACAAAAGUAAAAAAAAACAUUAAAAUUCCUUUGCUAAAUCAAAAUAUAUACAAAAUCCUCAUGCUGAGGAGGAAAAAACUAGAGAGUAAACAACCAAUGCUUCCGCCUCAUUAUUUACUCUUUUAGGAAAACUUUCUCUUCACUCCUCCACAGCAAGAGGAACAGACGCCGCGAGCUUGCGGAACUUGAGGGCGUAAAACAUCUCCAGAUAGCGGCGGCUCUCCAGGCGAUCAAGGUUCGAAACAUCUUUCCAGAAGCCAUAAACUCCAGUGAGUGUCAAGAGCCUCUCAGAGUAGAUUUGCCAUGUGUACCUAAACGAAAACAGAGCAGAAAUGUAAGAUAACUUGCAAGCCAAGCAAAACAAUUU
RNAcentral lists this long non-coding RNA (14490 nucleotides) under Malus domestica (apple). RNAcentral's name for it is "long non-coding RNA (MDOM_LNC001440)". The record is from RNAcentral. Lineage: Eukaryota; Viridiplantae; Streptophyta; Magnoliopsida; Rosales; Rosaceae.